AAUAGAUGUGGUCAAGAAUGACAAUGUGGUCAAAAAUUUUCUCUCUCUCAGAGGCCCGUGCGGUGGCGGAUCCCUCCUUUCAGGCAAAGGUGCAACUCGCUGUGAAAGCCGCAGCUUGUGCAUCUUUUGCCUACUUCUUUUGUGGGACGGCCCCGUUGAUCGUACGCAUCGUCAAAACGGAAAGGGAGAUCACCAAGUCCGGGCCAGCCUUUUAUUUGAAAUUGAGUGAAGGGGUGGAAACUGAGUGAAGAGAAACAGACAGUGGCCUUAAGCAUUCAAGUGAAUUUUAUUUUGCUGCUUAUAUAAACUUUAAUUUAAGGGUGCCCUGUAAUAUGCGAGUAGUUGUAAUUAUUCGCAUUUGUAUGUAACCGUAUGUCUUUAAUGGUGUUAUUUUGAGACUCAAAAGUAUCACUAUUUAUAUACUACUGAAUGUUUAAGCAUUAGUCCCA
Rosa chinensis is the source of this 449-nucleotide long non-coding RNA. RefSeq lists it as uncharacterized. The transcript has 2 exons. The record is from RefSeq and is a predicted model, not a curated record. Lineage: Eukaryota; Viridiplantae; Streptophyta; Magnoliopsida; Rosales; Rosaceae.